RNAcentral lists this ribosomal RNA (207 nucleotides) under uncultured bacterium. RNAcentral's name for it is "partial 16S ribosomal RNA". It matches the Rfam family "Bacterial small subunit ribosomal RNA", at positions 1294 to 1500 of the family's 1533-position model. The record is from RNAcentral.
CGGAUUGCAGGCUGCAACUCGCCUGUAUGAAGUCGGAAUUGCUAGUAAUCGCGGAUCAGCAUGCCGCGGUGAAUACGUUCCCGGGCCUUGUACACACCGCCCGUCACACCAUGAGAGUCGGGAACACCCGAAGUCCGUAGUCUAACCGCAAGGAGGGCGCGGCCGAAGGUGGGCUUGAUAAUUGGGGUGAAGUCGUAACAAGGUAGC